UUGAACGCUGGCGGAAUGCUUUACACAUGCAAGUCGAACGGCAGCACGGGAGCUUGCUCCUGGUGGCGAGUGGCGAACGGGUGAGUAACAUAUCGGAACGUACCCAGUCGUGGGGGAUAACUAUCCGAAAGGAUAGCUAAUACCGCAUACGUCCUGAGGGAGAAAGCGGGGGAUCGCAAGACCUCGCGCGAUUGGAGCGGCCGAUAUCGGAUUAGCUAGUUGGUGGGGUAAAGGCUCACCAAGGCGACGAUCCGUAGCGGGUCUGAGAGGACGACCCGCCACACUGGAACUGAGACACGGUCCAGACUCCUACGGGAGGCAGCAGUGGGGAAUUUUGGACAAUGGGGGCAACCCUGAUCCAGCCAUUCCGCGUGAGUGAAGAAGGCCUUCGGGUUGUAAAGCUCUUUCAGCAGGAACGAAACGGUCGGCUUUAAUAAAAUCGGCUAAUGACGGUACCUGCAGAAGAAGCACCGGCUAACUACGUG
Molecule: ribosomal RNA, 485 nt
Filed under: uncultured bacterium
Lineage: Bacteria
Description: partial 16S ribosomal RNA
Rfam family: Bacterial small subunit ribosomal RNA
Source: RNAcentral